Molecule: ribosomal RNA, 468 nt
Filed under: uncultured bacterium
Lineage: Bacteria
Description: partial 16S ribosomal RNA
Rfam family: Bacterial small subunit ribosomal RNA
Source: RNAcentral
GACGAACGCUGGCGGCGUGCUUAACACAUGCAAGUCGAACGGAAAGGCCCUGCUUUUGUGGGGUGCUCGAGUGGCGAACGGGUGAGUAACACGUGAGUAACCUGCCCUUGACUUUGGGAUAACUUCAGGCAACUGGGGCUAAUACCGGAUAGGAGCUCCUGAUGCAUGGUGGGGGUUGGAAAGUUUCGGCGGUUGGGGAUGGACUCGCGGCUUAUCAGCUUGUUGGUGGGGUAGUGGCUUACCAAGGCUUUGACGGGUAGCCGGCCUGAGAGGGUGACCGGCCACAUUGGAACUGAGCUACGACCCAGACUCAUACGGGAGGGAGCGGUGGGGAAUAUUGCAUAAUGGGAUGAGGCCAAGUGUAGCGAAGCCGUGUGGGGGGUGAGAGGCAGCGGUUAGGAAACCACUAUCGUUUCUGACGAAGCGAGAGUGACGGUACUGGGAAAAGAAGCACCGGCUAACUACGUG